UACGGAGGUCUCAAGCGUUGUUCGGAUUCAUUGGGCGUAAAGGGUGCGUAGGCGGCGCGGUAAGUCGGGUGUGAAAUCUCGGAGCUUAACUCCGAAACUGCAUUCGAUACUGCCGUGCUUGAGGACUGGAGAGGAGACUGGAAUUCUCGGUGUAGCGGUGAAAUGCGUAGAUAUCGAGAGGAACACCCGUGGCGAAGGCGGGUCUCUGGACAGUUCCUGACGCUGAGGCACGAAGGCCAGGGUAGCAAACGGG
Molecule: ribosomal RNA, 253 nt
Filed under: uncultured microorganism
Description: partial small subunit ribosomal RNA
Rfam family: Bacterial small subunit ribosomal RNA
Source: RNAcentral